RNAcentral lists this unclassified non-coding RNA (300 nucleotides) under uncultured Pleosporales. RNAcentral's name for it is "sequence contains ITS1". The stretch from base 1 to 105 matches the Rfam family "5.8S ribosomal RNA", at positions 50 to 154 of the family's 154-position model. The record is from RNAcentral. Lineage: Eukaryota; Fungi; Ascomycota; Dothideomycetes; Pleosporales.
GAAAUGCGGUAAGUAGUGUGAAUUGCAGAAUUCAGUGAAUCAUCGAAUCUUUGAACGCACAUUGCGCCCCUUGGUAUUCCAUGGGGCAUGCCUGUUCGAGCGUCAUUUGUACCCUCAAGCUUUGCUUGGUGUUGGGCGUCUUGUCCUCUUCUGGAGGUCUCGCCUCAAAACAAUUGGCAGCCGGCAUAUUGGUAUCGGAGCGCAGCACAAGUCGCACUUUGUUCCAUGAAUGUUGGCUGCCAUCAAGACCAUUUUUUCCCUCUUGAACUCGGAUCAGGUAGGGAUAGCCUCUAAACUUCA